RNAcentral lists this ribosomal RNA (1136 nucleotides) under Macrophthalmus latifrons. RNAcentral's name for it is "16S ribosomal RNA". Lineage: Eukaryota; Metazoa; Arthropoda; Malacostraca; Decapoda; Macrophthalmidae. The record is from RNAcentral.
UACUUACAACUUGUUGAUAAUCAGAAAUCAAAGACUAAGAAAGAAAAAUAAUUUAACAAUUUUAUUUUUAGUAAUUUUUAAUGAAAAUAAAUUCAAACGAUAGGGAAGAGUACUGUGAAGGAAGGUAUUUAAAGUUAAUCAUAGUAGAAAUAAAAUUUUGUACCUUGUGUAUUAGGGAGAAUUUAUCUAAUUUAGUUAAAAAUUAAAUAUCCCGAAAUAAAAUAUAGUUAAUUUUGUAAGUAAGUCUUUGUAGAAAAAAAGUUUAAAAUAUGAAAUUAAAAGUGAAAUACUAGUUGAGUUUUAUAAUAUCUGGUUUUUUUAGAAAAAAUUUAAUUUAGUUCUUGUAGGUAAUUAGUAUCAGAACAUAGGGCAGGAGGGAAUAGCUUCUUGUGAAAAAUAAAUUUAAACAGUUAAAUAUAAAGUAUAUUAUAAAUUAGGCUUAGAAGUAGCCACAUUUAAAAAGUGUUUUAACUGGGUUUAAAACAAAAAUUGAUUUAUAUGGUAGCUUUUAAAAUUAUAAAAAAAUAAGUUUAAACAACAUAAACUAAGAUAUAAUGAUUUUAUUAGUAAAAAUUUAAUUAUAAAUAAAAUAUUAAAAUAUUAAAAUUUAUUUAAUAAGUUAGUAAAUAAUAUAAAGGAAUUCGGCAAAAUUUUUCUUUGCCUGUUUAUCAAAAACAUGUCUUUUUGAAGGUAAAAAAAGUCAAGCCUGCCCACUGAAAGUUUUAAAGGCCGCGGUAUCCUGACCGUGCAAAGGUAGCAUAAUCGUUAGUUCCUUAAUUGGGAUCUUGUAUGAAUGGUUAGACAAAAGAAAACCUGUCUCUGUAUUAAAAUUGAAUUUAACUUUUAAGUGAAAAGGCUUAAAUAAAUUAAAGGGACGAUAAGACCCUAUAAAGCUUUAUAAAUAUAUUGUUAUUUAAUUUAAUUUUUUAAUAAAAAUUUUAUAACUAAAUUUUAUUUUGUUGGGGUGACAAAAGUAAAAUUAUUAGUAACUGCUUGAAUUUAAAUACAAAUGAUAGUUGAGUUGGUGGUUUUAAAAGAUCCUAAAUAAAGAUUAUAAGUUUAAGUUACUUUAGGGAUAACAGCGUUAUUUUUUUUGAGAGUACAUAUCGAAAAAAAAGUUUGCGACCUCGAUGUUG